AAACGAAACAACUGGACGUUUUCCGGAAUUAAUUGGGCGUUAAGGGUGCGUAGGCGGCCUUUUAAGUCAGAUGUGAAAGAUCACGGCUCAACCGGGGUAAUGCAUUUGGAACCGGGAGGCUUGAAUUAAGGAGAAGAAAGUGGAAUUCCUAGGGUAGCGGUGAAAUGGGUAUAUAUUACGAGGAAUACCAGUGGCGAAAGCGACUUUCCGGACUUAUACUGACGCUGUAGGCACCAAAGCGUGGGGAACCAAACAGAAUUAAUUCCCUGGUAAUCCACGCCGUAAACCAAUAGUGAUUCGUGGUGGGGGUCAAACCUCGGUGCCGCAACUAACGCAUUAAACACUCCGCCGGGGGGGAACGUACGCCAGCAUGAAAAUCAAAGGAAUUGACGGGGACCCGCCCAAACAGCGGAACAAGUGGGUUAAUUCCAAGCAUCCCCAAGAAACUUACCUGGGCUUGACAUGCCCCUGACCGUCCUAGAAAACGGGCUUUACCUUCGGCUACAGGGGACACACGUGGUGCAUGGCUGUCGCCCGCUCCUGUCGUGAGAUGUUGGGUUAAGUCCCGCAACGAGAGCAACCCUUGUCUUUAGUUGCUGACAGAUAUAGCUGAGCACUCUAGAGGGACUGCCGAUGACGAAUCGGAGGAAGGUGGGGAUGACGACCAAUCAUCAUCCUCUUUAUGUCCUGGGCUACACACGUGCUACAAUGAUCGGUACAACGAGCAGCUACUUAUCGAUAAGAUGCUAAUCACUUAAAGACGAUCUCAGUUCGGAUUGCAGGAUGCAACUCUCCUGCAUGAGGUCGGAGUUGCUAGUAAUCUCGGAUCACAAUGUCGCGAUGAAUGCAUUCCCCGGUGUUGUACACACCGCCCGUCCCACCAUGGGGAGUGGGUAAUGCCCGAAGCCAAUGAGCUGACCCUUUGGAGGCAACUGUCGAAAGUAGGGGCAAUGACUGGGGGGGAGUCGUAAAAGGGUAUCGUAAAAAGCCAAA
RNAcentral lists this ribosomal RNA (993 nucleotides) under Tissierella praeacuta. RNAcentral's name for it is "bacterial SSU rRNA". It matches the Rfam family "Bacterial small subunit ribosomal RNA", at positions 523 to 1533 of the family's 1533-position model. Lineage: Bacteria; Bacillati; Bacillota; Tissierellia; Tissierellales; Tissierellaceae. The record is from RNAcentral.